This is a non-coding RNA of Acanthosepion pharaonis, 92 nucleotides long. NCBI's taxonomy places the organism in Eukaryota, Metazoa, Mollusca, Cephalopoda, Sepiida, Sepiidae. The record is from the annotation of a GenBank genome assembly.
ACUGAAACACCUGAUGAUCUUCGAAGUUAAGCAACGUCGAGCUUGGUCAGUACCUAGAUGGGUGACCGCUUGGAAAUACCAGCCGCUGUAAG